AUUUAUAUAAUAUAAUAAUUAUAUUUGACUUCCAAUCAGAAAAUCUGAUAUAUCAGUAUAAAUA
Molecule: transfer RNA, 64 nt
Filed under: Boros schneideri
Lineage: Eukaryota; Metazoa; Arthropoda; Insecta; Coleoptera; Boridae
Description: tRNA-Gly
Source: RNAcentral